GACGAACGCUGGCGGCGUGGAUUAGGCAUGCAAGUCGAACGGUAUCAUCCUUUCGGGGGUGAGAGAGUGGCGAACUGGUGAGUAACACGUAGGUUAUCUACCCUCAAGACGGGGACAACCCAGGGAAACUUGGGCUAAUACCGGAUGUGAGCAACUUUUAGUUGUUUGAAAGGUGGCGUAAGCUGUCGCUUGGGGAUGAGCCUGCGUCCUAUUAGUUAGUUGGUGAGGUAACGGCUCACCUAGGCAAUGAUAGGUAGGCGGCCUUAACGGGUGGUCGCCCACACUGGGAUUGAGAUACGGCCCAGACUCCUACGGGAGGCAGCAGUCGAGAAUAGUCUACAAUGGUCGGAAGACUGAUAGUGCGACGCCGCGUGAACGAUGAAUCCCUUCGGGGUGUAAAGUUCUUUUAUAUGUGAGCAGUGCUUCUUAUAUUAACAGUAUGGGAGAGAGAAUUAGCAUAUGAAUAAGCAAACGGCUAAACUCCGUGCCAGCAGCCGCGGUAAAAAUA
RNAcentral lists this ribosomal RNA (508 nucleotides) under uncultured bacterium. Its description in RNAcentral is "bacterial SSU rRNA". It matches the Rfam family "Bacterial small subunit ribosomal RNA", at positions 28 to 528 of the family's 1533-position model. The record is from RNAcentral.